RNAcentral lists this ribosomal RNA (773 nucleotides) under uncultured Neocallimastigales. Its description in RNAcentral is "partial large subunit ribosomal RNA". It matches the Rfam family "Eukaryotic large subunit ribosomal RNA", at positions 18 to 616 of the family's 3401-position model. Lineage: Eukaryota; Fungi; Neocallimastigomycota; Neocallimastigomycetes; Neocallimastigales. The record is from RNAcentral.
CAGACGAUGCGUCAUGCAUAUCAAUAAGCGGAGGAAAAGAAACUAACAAGGAUUCCCCUAGUAACGGCGAGUGAAGCGGGUAGAGCUCAAAUUUGAAAUCUUAAAGGGUUUCCCUUUACGAAUUGUAGUUUAAAGAAGUGUUUUCUGUUGAGGUUUUGGUAAAAGUUCUUUGGAAUAGGACAUCAUAGAGGGUGAGAAUCCCGUAUUUGACCUUUACUUUCAACUUUGUGAUACACUUUCAAAGAGUCGGAUUGUUUGGGAAUGCAGUCCAAAAUGGGUGGUAAAUUUCAUCUAAAGCUAAAUAUUGGCGAGAGACCGAUAGCGAACAAGUACCGUGAGGGAAAGAUGAAAAGAACUUUGAAAAGAGAGUUAAACAGUACGUGAAAUUGUCAAUAGGGAAGCGUUUGACACCAGUGUUGUUUUUCUGAAAAUCAAUUAAAGAACUGUUUAUGCUAAGCUGUUUAGACUUUAUCAGCUAUCUGUUUAGUUUUGAGCUUUUCUUUAAUGCACUUUUCAGUUAACAAGUCAACAUCAAUUUCUUUUGCUGUAAAAAAGCUUGAGGAAGGUGGCUUGAGAUUCGUCUUAAGUGUUUAUAGCCUCUUGCCUAUGCAGUCGGAGAGAUUGAGGUCUGCAGCGUAGAUCCUUCGGGGCUAAAUGCAUUUGUGCUAAGUUAUAGCAUUUUAUAGACAACUUGUUGACUAUGAUUUGUCUUGUAGCUUACUCGCUUAUGUUAUUUUACCUACGCUUAGGAUGUUGAGCGCAUGUCUCUCUCU